GCCGCUAUAGCUCAGCUGGCUAGAGCAGCUGAUUUGUAAUCAGCAGGUCGUGGGUUCGAGUCCCUCUAGUGGCU
RNAcentral lists this transfer RNA (74 nucleotides) under Flavobacteriales bacterium. Its description in RNAcentral is "tRNA-Thr". It matches the Rfam family "tRNA". From Rfam's summary of the family: Transfer RNA (tRNA) molecules are approximately 80 nucleotides in length. Lineage: Bacteria; Pseudomonadati; Bacteroidota; Flavobacteriia; Flavobacteriales. The record is from RNAcentral.